Molecule: long non-coding RNA, 670 nt
Organism: Bubalus bubalis (water buffalo)
Lineage: Eukaryota; Metazoa; Chordata; Mammalia; Artiodactyla; Bovidae
Exons: 3
Source: RefSeq, a predicted model, not a curated record
ACCCGUCCUGCGGGAGGGAAACCAAGAUUAAGAACUACCCACCCCACCACCCUUCCUCGACUCUUCCGUCCUUGCAUGGAGGUGUGUAUCUGUAUCUUACAGGUGGAGUCCAAAGCUAAAGAUUAACUUCUCAUUUAGGUCACCACAGAGAACUGAGUAGAGAAAAAUCGUAAUUCCCAAAGAUACAUGCACCCCAAUGUUCACUGCAGGACCAUUUACAAUAUCCAGAACAUGGAAGCAAUCUAAAUGUCCAUCAACAAAGAAAUGGAUAAAGAACAUGUGGCACAUAUACACAAUGGAAUAUUACUCAGCCAUAAAAGGAACGAAAUUGUGUCAUUUCCAGAAAUACUGAUGGACCUAGAGACUUGGACAGAGUAAAGAAGAGUAUCACAUGGCUAAUGAAAAAGUUUAGUUAGUAACUCACCAUCAAAUAUAUCCACCAUUCUGAAGAAAGCCAGAGAUAAUGAUGACUUCCCACUGCCAGUGCGACCACAUAUGCCCACCUAAGAAAGCAACUGUCACUCAGAGAAAAGAGGACUCAGACAAAAGAAAAAAGUAGGCAAAGCAUUUUUAACUUAGAUAAGACACCAUGAUAAAACUGCAACUCUAUUUAAACAGUUACAUUAAAAUUGUCGUUCUCCUCUCAGGUCUCCUUUCUGAGUUAUCAUUA